This 373-nucleotide ribosomal RNA is filed under the name uncultured bacterium. RNAcentral describes it as "bacterial SSU rRNA". It matches the Rfam family "Bacterial small subunit ribosomal RNA", at positions 524 to 898 of the family's 1533-position model. The record is from RNAcentral.
UACGGAGGGUGCAAGCGUUAUCCGGAUUUACUGGGUUUAAAGGGAGCGUAGGCGGUUUUGUAAGUCCGUGGUGAAAGCCCUCAGCUCAACUGAGGAACUGCCAUGGAUACUAUGGAACUUGAAUAUCGUUGAGGUUUGCGGAAUGGGUCAUGUAGCGGUGAAAUGCAUAGAUAUGACCCGGAACACCAAUUGCGAAGGCAGCAGGCUAAACGAUGAUUGACGCUGAGGCUCGAAAGCGUGGGGAUCAAACAGGAUUAGAUACCCUGGUAGUCCACGCCCUAAACGAUGAUUACUCGACAUACGUGAUAUGACAAUGUGUGUCUGAGCGAAAGCAUUAAGUAAUCCACCUGGGAAGUACGACCGCAAGGUUGAA